This 65-nucleotide transfer RNA is filed under the name Xenagama taylori. RNAcentral's name for it is "tRNA-Tyr". The record is from RNAcentral. Lineage: Eukaryota; Metazoa; Chordata; Lepidosauria; Squamata; Agamidae.
GGGAAGGUGGCCGAAGGCAGGCGGUGGCUUGUAAUUCCACCUAUGGAGAACUUCUCCCCUUUCCA